RNAcentral lists this ribosomal RNA (409 nucleotides) under uncultured bacterium. RNAcentral's name for it is "bacterial SSU rRNA". It matches the Rfam family "Bacterial small subunit ribosomal RNA", at positions 28 to 436 of the family's 1533-position model. The record is from RNAcentral.
GAUGAACGCUGGCGGCGUGCUUAACACAUGCAAGUCGAACGGGAUCCCAGGAGCUUGCUCCUGGGUGAGAGUGGCGAACGGGUGAGUAAUGCGUGACCGACCUGCCCCAUACACCGGAAUAGCUCCUGGAAACGGGUGGUAAUGCCGGAUGCUCCAGUUGGAUGCAUGUCCUUCUGGGAAAGAUUCAUCGGUAUGGGAUGGGGUCGCGUCCUAUCAGCUUGAUGGCGGGGUAACGGCCCACCAUGGCUUCGACGGGUAGCCGGCCUGAGAGGGCGACCGGCCACAUUGGGACUGAGAUACGGCCCAGACUCCUACGGGAGGCAGCAGUGGGGAAUAUUGCACAAUGGGCGCAAGCCUGAUGCAGCGACGCCGCGUGCGGGAUGACGGCCUUCGGGUUGUAAACCGCUUU